ACAUACGAGCAUAGGGUGUGGAAAACAGGGCUGCCCGUCCGCUCAGCCGUACUUGAGCCACACCGGUGAGUUAAUAGUUGGGUGGGUGACCACCAGCGAAUCCUCACUGUUGUAUGUG
Molecule: ribosomal RNA, 118 nt
Filed under: Penicillium freii
Lineage: Eukaryota; Fungi; Ascomycota; Eurotiomycetes; Eurotiales; Aspergillaceae
Source: RNAcentral